Molecule: ribosomal RNA, 375 nt
Filed under: uncultured organism
Description: bacterial SSU rRNA
Rfam family: Archaeal small subunit ribosomal RNA
Source: RNAcentral
CCAGCACCCCGAGUGGUCGGGACGAUUAUUGGGCCUAAAGCAUCCGUAGCCGGCCUUACAAGUCCCCCGUUAAAUCCAGCUGCUUAACAGAUGGGCUGCGGAGGAUACUAUAAGACUAGGAGGCAGGAGAGGCAAGCGGUACUCAGUGGGUAGGGGUAAAAUCCGUUGAUCCAUUGAAGACCACCAGUGGCGAAGGCGGCUUGCCAGAAUGCGCUCGACGGUGAGGGAUGAAAGCUGGGGGAGCAAACCGGAUUAGAUACCCGGGUAGUCCCAGCUGUAAACGAUGCGGACUCGGUGAUGGACUAGCUUUAUGCUGGUCCAGUGCCGCAGGGAAGCCGUUAAGUCUGCCGCCUGGGUAGUACGGUCGCAAGACUG